CCUACGGGAGGCAGCAGUGGGGAAUAUUGGACAAUGGGGGGAACCCUGAUCCAGCCAUGCCGCGUGUGUGAAGAAGGCCCUCGGGUUGUAAAGCACUUUCAGUGAGGAAGAACGCCUGGUGGUUAAUACCCAUCAGGAAAGACAUCACUCACAGAAGAAGCACCGGCUAACUCCGUGCCAGCAGCCGCGGUAAUACGGAGGGUGCGAGCGUUAAUCGGAAUUACUGGGCGUAAAGCGCGCGUAGGUGGCUUGAUAAGCCGGUUGUGAAAGCCCCGGGCUCAACCUGGGAACGGCAUCCGGAACUGUCAAGCUAGAGUGCAGGAGAGGAAGGUAGAAUUCCCGGUGUAGCGGUGAAAUGCGUAGAGAGCGGGAGGAAUACCAGUGGCGAAGGCGGCCUUCUGGACUGACACUGACACUGAGGUGCGAAAGCGUGGGUAGCAAACAGGAUUAGAUACCCUGGUAGUC
Molecule: ribosomal RNA, 465 nt
Filed under: Vreelandella stevensii
Lineage: Bacteria; Pseudomonadati; Pseudomonadota; Gammaproteobacteria; Oceanospirillales; Halomonadaceae
Description: partial 16S ribosomal RNA
Rfam family: Bacterial small subunit ribosomal RNA
Source: RNAcentral